Molecule: long non-coding RNA, 1636 nt
Filed under: Dendronephthya gigantea
Lineage: Eukaryota; Metazoa; Cnidaria; Anthozoa; Malacalcyonacea; Nephtheidae
Description: uncharacterized LOC114541749, transcript variant X1
Source: RNAcentral
GGAUUUAGUUCCCACUUGCAACCUUGUUCUGUCACGAACCUUUCGAUCUUUCCAAGCUUCAUAUCGUUGAAAGCAUCCUCUAACUCCGAUUUCCCUCCGAUGAAGUUCGUCCCUCGAUUGCAACGAAGUAGUGCCGCCUGGCCUCGUAGUGCGAAGAAGCGCCUGAGAGCACAGAUGAAGGCACUUGCAUCCAUGGACUCUAGGACCUCGAUAUGUAUCGCUCUGCUUGCAAGACAGGUGAAUACCAGACCCCAACGCUUCGACUUGGCCGCACCGCCUCUAGUUUUCCUCGUAUGUACUUCCCAUGGACCGAACACGUCAAAACCGACGUUGGUGAAGGGGGGUCCAACCUCCAUUCUGUCUGCAGGUAGGUCGGCCAUCUGCUGCUCUAAAGGUCGGCCCCGUAAUUUUUUGCAAGUCACGCAGGAAUGUAUUUCUUUCGAUACAACUCGGUAUCCUCCAACUAUCCAAUAGCCAGCUUGGCGAACCGCGCCCCGGGUGAUGGACCUCCCUUGAUGAUGCACUUUACUGUGGUGGUGUCGUACAACCAGGUUGGAUACGUGGUCGUUGCGUGGCAAGAUGAUGGGGUAUUUCUCUCCUAACUCGAACUCCGCUCGCCGCAGACGUCCGCCAACGCGGAGUAUUCCAUUGCUAUGUGAUGUGUGAUAUCGGUAUCGAUUUUGUUAUAGGGGUGUAGAAAAACUGUAUUUUGACAGGCAUCUAGUGCCGAAGACAAACUUCUAGAUGGAUUUAUUGCAUGAAACUUUGCACACUUGAUGAAUUUGCCAAUUCAAGUAUUAUUCUAAAAUUUCAGAGCAAUCGAGUUAAUAGAAGUAUGUGAUGUGUGAUAUCGGUAUCGAUUUUGUUAUAGGGGUGUAGAAAAACUGUAUUUUGACAGGCAUCUAGUGCCGAAGACAAACUUCUAGAUGGAUUAAUUGCAUGAAACUUUGCACACUUGAUUAAUUUGCCAAUUCAAGCAUUAUUCUAAAAUUUCAGAGCAAUCGAGUUAAUAGAAGUAUGUGAUGUGUGAUAUCGGUAUCGAUUUUGUUAUAGGGGUGUAGAAAAACUGUAUUUUGACAGGCAUCUAGUGCCGAAGACAAACUUCUAGAUGGAUUUAUUGCAUGAAACUUCAGUUCCAAUUCAGAAAAACAUCCCAGAUUUAAUUAAAGCUGCUUCACCAGCCAUCGCAAGGCGACUGCAACGCAAAGCUCUGUAUUUUCCCUAUAUACACAUGUCACAGUUAAAAUGGGCGUAUACCUGUUCUGAUUGUCGAAUAUCCUCGUCAACAUCCUCAUCAAGCAAGUCGUCUAAACCCGCUUCAUCACCAGCAACAUCGAGGAACGGCUUCAAAGCGAUAGCUUCGCGCACUUCGGUAUACAGCUCAUAGUAAGAAACAAGAUCACCUUCACGCUUCGUCAUCUCAAACUUCGACCCUGGAAACACAAAUUGAAGAACAUGCUCCGUUAGUGCUUCAUUGCGACCUGUCGUAUAUAAAUGAAAAAGCUUAAUCCGUCAAUGGCAAAUGUAAGUCUUCAGAAAUUAAGAGGAAACCUAAAAAUUCGAACAGCUACGUACCUGCUGCAUGCAUGUAUUUUGUUGUUGAUCCCAAUCUCGAGAUGUAGCUGUUGAUUUGCUC